This 250-nucleotide unclassified non-coding RNA is filed under the name plant metagenome. RNAcentral describes it as "partial contains small subunit ribosomal RNA, internal transcribed spacer 1, and 5.8S ribosomal RNA". The record is from RNAcentral.
GUAGGUGAACCUGCGGAAGGAUCAUUAACACGUAUCCAACGUUAAACCCCCCUGUGAACCUUCAUUGUGGUCCCCCAUUCCGUUAGAACGCGGCAAUCCCUGGUAAAUCAUCGCCGAACAGUUUUGAUUCAGGGACCUCUGCAUGGUUUGGGCUAGCACCGCGAGGCAAGUGGCCUGGCAUUCGUAAGAAUGGCGCAGUAACGAUCGCUAGAGGCCCACACGGCCGGCGACCGGGUCACUGGGCUCACGC